This 1055-nucleotide long non-coding RNA is filed under the name Pavo cristatus (Indian peafowl). RNAcentral describes it as "lncRNA (ENSPSTG00000002451.1)". Lineage: Eukaryota; Metazoa; Chordata; Aves; Galliformes; Phasianidae. The record is from RNAcentral.
CCCCCCCCCUCCUCCCUCUACGCACACACUCCUCCUCCCCGCUCCCCUCCCCGCCCGCCGCCUCCUUUCACACGGCCGCCCCGCCGGGGGCGAGGGGUGCCCGGCCCCCCGUGGCGGCGGCGCGGCGGUGCGGAGCCGGGCGGUGCUCCGGGCUGGCCCGGGGGGGGGGCCCGGGGGCGGCGCGCCCCCGCCCCGCGCCCGCCCGCGCCCCGCACGCUCGCCCCGCGCCCAUGCAACAACGCAGGGACGCGCACACGCGCACACACACGUACACACGCACACACACACACGUACACACACGGCCCCCCCCCUUCCCCUCCCGCCCCCCAUCCAGCAAUCAUGGCUGCGCCGCCCGCACGCUCCGAUUGGGGCUCCGCGAGCGCCACCGCCUGUCCUGGUCCCGAGGCUCCUCCCGGAGGGGUUUAACCCGUUGGCACCUGUUUGGUUGUGAUUUCUUGCCUUGGAAGGAGAAAAAAAUGCCACUCUGGAGGUUUAUGCCCCGCAGGAAGAAGGUCAGAAAUCAGAUGGAAACCAGUAAAAAGAAAUGAUCCCAGAGCAAAGCGAGCGAUGCUCCGUGGGGUUGCACCUGCAGGUCCCAACAGGGUGCGCCGUGAGGAACAAACAGCCUUUAGAUCGGGCACAUCACCCGAGCACAUCAAUGAGUGACCCUUAGGGAAGAGGCCCAGCAGGAGCCUGAAGGGUCACAGUGAGUGGUUCCCACAGCUCCAGCAGGAACAGCUGCAGCCGGAGCCACCAAAGGACACAGAGCAGCCCAGGUCUCACCACCUCUCACAUAGGACCACGCUGUCCCCACAAAUAAAUGAAGCAGAAACCGUAAAUCCUCGCUGUUUUCUACAGAAGUGGUGUAAAUUAAACCCAAAUUGUCAUUCCUGCUGGUCCUGGUGCCCAACAGUGCCCUCGGAUCCUGCCCUGGGGCAGCCAGAGGCCCUUUGCUUACACAAACAUCGCUCUUCCCAACAAGCAGUGCUUCUGCUGGAACACCUGGAGCACAGCAUCAGCGGUUCUGCUGCAAGCACAGCUCCAUGGGAACCGUU